ACGGGAGGCAGCAGUGAGGAAUAUUGGUCAAUGGACGGAAGUCUGAACCAGCCAUGCCGCGUGCAGGAAUAAGGCCCUAUGGGUCGUAAACUGCUUUUGUGGUGGAGCAAUAAGUCGUACGUGUACGGCGAUGAGAGUACAUCACGAAUAAGCAUCGGCUAACUCCGUGCCAGCAGCCGCGGUAAUACGAGGGGUGCAAGCGUUGUUCGGAAUCACUGGGCGUAAAGGGAGCGUAGGCGGAGACGCAAGCAGUCUGUACAAUACCGGGGCCCAACCCCGGACCUGCAGACUGGACUGUGUCUCUUGGAUAGUUCAGGGGCAGGCGGAAUUCCUGGUGUAGCGGUGGAAUGCGUAGAGAUCAGGAAGAACACCGAUGGCGAAGGCAGCCUGCUGGGGACUCAUCGACGCUGAGGCUCGAAAGUGCGGGUAGCAAACAGGAUUAGAUACCCUGGUA
This 454-nucleotide ribosomal RNA is filed under the name uncultured Fibrobacter sp. RNAcentral's name for it is "bacterial SSU rRNA". It matches the Rfam family "Bacterial small subunit ribosomal RNA", at positions 341 to 792 of the family's 1533-position model. The record is from RNAcentral. Lineage: Bacteria; Pseudomonadati; Fibrobacterota; Fibrobacteria; Fibrobacterales; Fibrobacteraceae.